GAUGAAGAACGUAGCGAAAUGCGAUAAGUAAUGUGAAUUGCAGAAUUCAGUGAAUCAUCGAAUCUUUGAACGCACAUUGCGCCCCCUGGUAUUCCGGGGGGCAUGCCUGUUCGAGCGUCAUUUCACCACUCAAGCCUCGCUUGGUAUUGGGCAACGCGGUCCGCCGCGUGCCUCAAAUCGUCCGGCUGGGUCUUCUGUCCCCUAAGCGUUGUGGAAACUAUUCGCUAAAGGGUGUUCGGGAGGCUACGCCGUAAAACAACCCCAUUUCUAAGGUUGAGCUCGGAUCAGGUAGGGAUACCCGCUGAACUUAAGCAUAUCAAUAAGCGGAGGA
RNAcentral lists this unclassified non-coding RNA (331 nucleotides) under soil metagenome. RNAcentral's name for it is "partial contains 5.8S ribosomal RNA, internal transcribed spacer 2, and large subunit ribosomal RNA". The stretch from base 1 to 120 matches the Rfam family "5.8S ribosomal RNA", at positions 35 to 154 of the family's 154-position model. The record is from RNAcentral.